GGAGAGGUGCCCGAGCGGCCGAAGGGGCACGCCUGGAGAGCGUGUGUACCGUCAGGUACCGUGGGUUCGAAUCCCACCCUCUCCG
RNAcentral lists this transfer RNA (85 nucleotides) under Binatia bacterium. RNAcentral's name for it is "tRNA-Ser". It matches the Rfam family "tRNA". From Rfam's summary of the family: Transfer RNA (tRNA) molecules are approximately 80 nucleotides in length. Their secondary structure includes four short double-helical elements and three loops (D, anti-codon, and T loops). Lineage: Bacteria; Candidatus Binatota; Binatia (SeqCode). The record is from RNAcentral.